UUGCGGUUAAAAAGCUCGUAGUUGGAUCUUGGCAGGUAGGGGGCGGUUCGUUUCUGACGGCACUGCCCCAUUUACCUGUGUUUUUGCAAGAGGUCUCAAGGUGGCUUUAAUCGGCUGUCUUGGAACGCUUGCAGUUUUACUUUGAAAAAAUUAGAGUGCUCAAAGCAGGCUACAAAGCUUGAAUAUUUGUGCAUGGAAUAAUGGAAUAGGAAGUCGUUUCUAUUUUUUUGGUUUUCGGAAAUUGACUUAAUGAUUAAUAGGGACAGCCGGGGGCAUUAGUACUCAGACGACAGAGGUGAAAUUCUUGGACCGUUUGAGGACUAACUACUGCGAAAGCAUUUGCCAAGAGUGUUUUCAUUAAUCAAGAACGAAAGUUAGAGGUUCGAAGGCGAUCAGAUACCGCCCUAGUUCUAACCAUAUACAAUGCUGACUAGCGAUCCGUAGCUGUUUUCUAUGUA
Molecule: ribosomal RNA, 458 nt
Filed under: uncultured marine eukaryote
Lineage: Eukaryota
Description: SSU rRNA
Rfam family: Eukaryotic small subunit ribosomal RNA
Source: RNAcentral